CCCCUCUCAGGAUCUCACAUGGAGAGUUUCCAAAACUCUACAAGUCUCGGUUGUUGGAGGGAGAGUCAAGCAGAGACAUAUCCAUUCCAUUCCUAGCUUGGGCAGUGACUAGUGAGUGGAAGGCAAUUUGCUACAAGU
Molecule: small nucleolar RNA, 138 nt
Organism: Ornithorhynchus anatinus (platypus)
Lineage: Eukaryota; Metazoa; Chordata; Mammalia; Monotremata; Ornithorhynchidae
Source: RefSeq, a predicted model, not a curated record